Molecule: ribosomal RNA, 468 nt
Filed under: uncultured bacterium
Lineage: Bacteria
Description: partial 16S ribosomal RNA
Rfam family: Bacterial small subunit ribosomal RNA
Source: RNAcentral
GACGAACGCUGGCGGCGUGCUUAACACAUGCAAGUCGAACGGAAAGGCCCUGCUUUUGUGGGGUGCUCGGGUGGCGAAGGGGUGAGUACCACGUGAUUACCCUGCCCUUGCCUUUGGGAUAACUUCAGGAAACUGGGGCUAAUACCGGAUAGGAGCUCCUCCUGCAUGGGGGGGGUGGGAAAGUUUCGGCGGUUGGGGAUGGACUCGCGGCUUAUCAGCUUGUUGGUGGGGUAGUGGCUUACCAAGGCUUUGACGGGUAGCCGGCCUGAGAGGGUGACCGGCCACAUUGGGACUGAGAUACGGCCCAGACUCCUACGGGAGGCAGCAGUGGGGAAUAUUGCACAAUGGGCGGAAGCCUGAUGCAGCAACGCCGCGUGCGGGAUGACGGCCUUCGGGUUGUAAACCGCUUUCGCCUGUGACGAAGCGUGAGUGACGGUAAUGGGUAAAGAAGCACCGGCUAACUACGUG